RNAcentral lists this ribosomal RNA (252 nucleotides) under uncultured bacterium. RNAcentral's name for it is "partial 16S ribosomal RNA". It matches the Rfam family "Bacterial small subunit ribosomal RNA", at positions 524 to 776 of the family's 1533-position model. The record is from RNAcentral.
UACAGAGGUCUCAAGCGUUGUUGGAUUCAUUGGGCGUAAAGGGUGCGUAGGUGGCGCUGUAAGUCAGGUGUGAAAUUUCGGAGCUCAACUUCGAAACUGCAUUUGAUACUGCGGUGCUUGAGGACUGGAGAGGAGACUGGAAUUUACGGUGUAGCAGUGAAAUGCGUAGAGAUCGUAAGGAAGACCAGUGGCGAAGGCGGGUCUCUGGACAGUUCCUGACACUGAGGCACGAAGGCCAGGGGAGCAAACGGG